Molecule: ribosomal RNA, 457 nt
Filed under: uncultured Gammaproteobacteria bacterium
Lineage: Bacteria; Pseudomonadati; Pseudomonadota; Gammaproteobacteria
Description: bacterial SSU rRNA
Rfam family: Bacterial small subunit ribosomal RNA
Source: RNAcentral
GAAGGCCCUAGGGUUGUAAAGCACUUUAAGCAGGGAGAAAAAGCUAUAAGUUAAUACCUUAUAGCCCUGAUGUUACCUGCAGAAUAAGCACCGGCUAAUUCCGUGCCAGCAGCCGCGGUAAUACGGAAGGUGCAAGCGUUAAUCGGAAUUACUGGGCGUAAAGCGCGCGUAGGUGGUUUGUUAAGUUGGAUGUGAAAGCCCUGGGCUCAACCUAGGAACUGCAUCCAAAACUAACUCACUUGAGUACGAUAGAGGGAGGUAGAAUUCAUAGAGUAGCGGUGGAAUGCGUAUAUAUUAUUAAGAAUACAGUGGCGAAGGCGGCCUCCUGGAUCUGUACUGACACUGAGGUGCGAAAGCGUGGGUAGCGAACAGGAUUAGAUACCCUGGUAGUCCACGCCGUAAACGAUGACAACUAGCUGUUGGGAGACAAAGUCUUUCAGUGGCGCAGCUAACGUUU